AGCUUAUCGUUUUUUAUGAUAGGUAUUUUCUGCCCGGUGUCGUUGUGAUAAACGGCCGCGGUACUCUGACCGUGCAAAGGUAGCAUAAUCACUUGCCCUUUAAUUGGGGGCUGGAAUGAAGGAAAGUUUUGAAAAUCUUACUGUCUCUCCUCUUUUGUUGUAAUUUGCUGUCUUCGUGAAGAAGCGAGGGUUUAAGAGAAAGACAAGAAGACCCUGUCAAGCUUAACUUCUUUGCUUCUAUUUCUUCUCUUUGAGUAUCUGUUUUGUGAGCGAUGUAGGUUUGGUUGGGGUGACUGGAAAGGAUUUAAAGUAUCCUCUCUUUGAAUAACUGACUUUUAGUCAUUUAAUGAACCAGGAGGGUUGCUGGUUUUGAGAAUUAGUUACUGUAGGGAUAACAGCGUAAUUCUCUCGGAGAGUUCUUAUUGAUGAGGGAGUUUGCGACCUCGAUGUUGCCUUGUCGUUUCCUCUGUUUAGGUGUAGCAGCUGGAAGGGUUAGUCUGUUCGACUAUUAAAACGGC
This 518-nucleotide ribosomal RNA is filed under the name Pilidiophora sp. RCMBAR186. RNAcentral's name for it is "partial 16S ribosomal RNA". It matches the Rfam family "Bacterial large subunit ribosomal RNA", at positions 1829 to 2597 of the family's 2925-position model. The record is from RNAcentral. Lineage: Eukaryota; Metazoa; Nemertea; Pilidiophora.